GAUGAAGAACGUAGCGAAAUGCGAUAAGUAAUGUGAAUUGCAGAAUUCAGUGAAUCAUCGAAUCUUUGAACGCAUCUUGCGCUCCUUGGUAUUCUGAGGAGCAUGCCUGUUUGAGUGUCAUUAAAUUCUCAACUACACUGACUUUGAAUUGGUGUGGCUUGGAUUUGGGGGGAAAAUUGUUGUGGGCUUUUUGUAUAGUCUGCUCCCCUGAAAUUGAUUAGCGGUACCUUUGUGGAACUGUCUACAGGUGUGAUAAUUAUCUACAUCUUAGACAUCUGCUGGAAUGCUGCUUUCUAAACCUUACUUGUAUUGACAAUCUUGACCUCAAAUCAGGUAGGACUACCCGCUGAACUUAAGCAUAUCAUAGCGGAGGA
This 374-nucleotide unclassified non-coding RNA is filed under the name soil metagenome. RNAcentral describes it as "partial contains 5.8S ribosomal RNA, internal transcribed spacer 2, and large subunit ribosomal RNA". The stretch from base 1 to 120 matches the Rfam family "5.8S ribosomal RNA", at positions 35 to 154 of the family's 154-position model. The record is from RNAcentral.